This 70-nucleotide transfer RNA is filed under the name Ictidomys tridecemlineatus (thirteen-lined ground squirrel). Its description in RNAcentral is "Spermophilus tridecemlineatus (thirteen-lined ground squirrel) tRNA". It matches the Rfam family "tRNA". Rfam says of the family: Transfer RNA (tRNA) molecules are approximately 80 nucleotides in length. Their secondary structure includes four short double-helical elements and three loops (D, anti-codon, and T loops). Further hydrogen bonds mediate the characteristic L-shaped molecular structure. tRNAs have two regions of fundamental functional importance: the anti-codon, which is responsible for specific mRNA codon recognition, and the 3' end, to which the tRNAs corresponding amino acid is attached (by aminoacyl-tRNA synthetases). tRNAs cope with the degeneracy of the genetic code in two manners: having more than one tRNA (with a specific anti-codon) for a particular amino acid; and 'wobble' base-pairing, i.e. permitting non-standard base-pairing at the 3rd anti-codon position. Lineage: Eukaryota; Metazoa; Chordata; Mammalia; Rodentia; Sciuridae. The record is from Rfam by way of RNAcentral.
GGGGAUAUGGCUCAGUUGGUAGAGUGCUUGCCUUGCAUGCAAAAGGCCCUGGGUUCAAUCCCCAGCACCA